AACGAACGCUGGCGGCAUGCCUAACACAUGCAAGUCGAACGAGACCUUCGGGUCUAGUGGCGCACGGGUGCGUAACGCGUGGGAACCUGCCCUUAGGUUCGGAAUAACUCCCCGAAAGGGGUGCUAAUACCGGAUAAUGUCUUCGGACCAAAGAUUUAUCGCCUUUGGAUGGGCCCGCGUUGGAUUAGCUAGAUGGUAGGGUAAAAGCCUACCAAGGCGACGAUCCAUAGCUGGUCUGAGAGGAUGAUCGGCCACACUGGGACUGAGACACGGCCCAGACUCCUACGGGAGGCAGCAGUGGGGAAUAUUGGACAAUGGGCGAAAGCCUGAUCCAGCAAUGCCGCGUGAGUGAUGAAGGCCUUAGGGUUGUAAAGCUCUUUUACCCGGGAUGAUAAUGACAGUACCGGGAGAAUAAGCUCCGGCUAACUCCGUG
RNAcentral lists this ribosomal RNA (433 nucleotides) under uncultured bacterium. Its description in RNAcentral is "partial 16S ribosomal RNA". It matches the Rfam family "Bacterial small subunit ribosomal RNA", at positions 29 to 507 of the family's 1533-position model. The record is from RNAcentral.